Molecule: ribosomal RNA, 118 nt
Filed under: Periophthalmus magnuspinnatus
Lineage: Eukaryota; Metazoa; Chordata; Actinopteri; Gobiiformes; Gobiidae
Source: RNAcentral
AUUAGUGGCCAAACCUCCUUGUCAAAGCCUGAUCUCAUCAGAUCUCAGAGGCUCAGCAGGGCUGGGCCUGGUCAGGACUUGAACAGGAGACCACCGUGAAUAUCAGGUGCCACAGGUG